RNAcentral lists this ribosomal RNA (462 nucleotides) under uncultured bacterium. RNAcentral describes it as "SSU rRNA". It matches the Rfam family "Bacterial small subunit ribosomal RNA", at positions 26 to 518 of the family's 1533-position model. The record is from RNAcentral.
AGAAUCAACGCUGGCGGCGUGCCUAACACAUGCAAGUCGAACGAGAAAGUGGGAGCAAUCCCACGAGUAAAGUGGCGCACGGGUGAGUAACACGUGACUAACCUACCCUUGAGUGGGGGGAUAACCUAGGGAAAACCUGGGCUAAUACCGCAUAAUACCUACGGGUCAAAGGAGCAAUUCGCUUAAGGAGGGGGUCGCGGCAGAUUAGUUAGUUGGCGGGGUAAUGGCCCACCAAGACAGUGAUCUGUAUCCGGCCUGAGAGGGCGCACGGACACACUGGAACUGAAACACGGUCCAGACUCCUACGGGAGGCAGCAGUGGGGAAUUUGCGCAAUGGGGGAAACCCUGACGCAGCAACGCCGCGUGGAGGAUGAAGCCCAUUGGGGCGUAAACUCCUUUCGAUCGGGAAGAUAAUGACGGUACCGGAAGAAGAAGCCCGGCUAACUUCGCGCCAGCAGCCGC